Molecule: ribosomal RNA, 505 nt
Filed under: uncultured bacterium
Lineage: Bacteria
Description: bacterial SSU rRNA
Rfam family: Bacterial small subunit ribosomal RNA
Source: RNAcentral
GAUUAUGGCUCAGGAUGAACGCUAGCGGCAGGCUUAAUACAUGCAAGUCGAACGGGAUUCAGGUAGCAAUACUUGAUGAGAGUGGCGCACGGGUGCGUAACACGUAUGCAACCUACCUUUAACUGGUGAAUAGCCCCGGGAAAUCGGGAUUAAUACACCAUAACAUUACAAGAGGGCAUCCUCUAAUAAUUAAAGAACUUCGGUUAAAGAUGGGCAUGCGGGACAUUAGCUAGUUGGUGAGGUAACGGCUCACCAAGCCGACGAUGGAUAGGGGAACUGAGAGGUUGGUCCCCCACACUGGUACUGAGACACGGACCAGACUCCUACGGGAGGCAGCAGUGAGGAAUAUUGGUCAAUGGGCGGGAGCCUGAACCAGCCAAGUCGCGUGAAGGAAGAAGGAUCUAUGGUUCGUAAACUUCUUUUGCAGGGGAAUAAAGUGCAGGACGUGUCCUGUUUUGUAUGUACCCUGAGAAUAAGGAUCGGCUAACUCCGUGCCAGCCGCCGC